ACACUCCUGCGGGAGGCAGCAGUGGGGAAUUUUGGACAAUGGGCGAAAGCCUGAUCCAGCAAUGCCGCGUGCAGGAUGAAGGCCUUCGGGUUGUAAACUGCUUUUGUACGGAACGAAAAAGCUCCUUCUAAUACAGGGGGCCCAUGACGGUACCGUAAGAAUAAGCACCGGCUAACUACGUGCCAGCAGCCGCGGUAAUACGUAGGGUGCGAGCGUUAAUCGGAAUUACUGGGCGUAAAGCGUGCGCAGGCGGUUAUGUAAGACAGAUGUGAAAUCCCCGGGCUCAACCUGGGAACUGCAUUUGUGACUGCAUGGCUAGAGUACGGUAGAGGGGGAUGGAAUUCCGCGUGUAGCAGUGAAAUGCGUAGAUAUGCGGAGGAACACCGAUGGCGAAGGCAAUCCCCUGGACCUGUACUGACGCUCAUGCACGAAAGCGUGGGGAGCAAACAGGAUUAGAUACCCCAGUAGUCCCAU
RNAcentral lists this ribosomal RNA (474 nucleotides) under uncultured organism. RNAcentral's name for it is "partial 16S ribosomal RNA". It matches the Rfam family "Bacterial small subunit ribosomal RNA", at positions 333 to 798 of the family's 1533-position model. The record is from RNAcentral.